RNAcentral lists this ribosomal RNA (500 nucleotides) under uncultured bacterium. Its description in RNAcentral is "partial 16S ribosomal RNA". It matches the Rfam family "Bacterial small subunit ribosomal RNA", at positions 36 to 507 of the family's 1533-position model. The record is from RNAcentral.
UCCUCCCUCUUUCUUCGUGCUUAACACAUGCAAGUCGAACGGGUCUGCCCUGUUUUUUGCGGGGUGGGUCAGUGGCGAACGGGUGAGUAACACGUGAGUAACCUGCCCCUCACUUCUGGAUAACCGCUUGAAAGGGUGGCUAAUACGGGGUGUUCUGGCUGUGCCGCAUGGUGUGGCUGGGAAAGAUUCACUUUUGUGGUGUUUUGGUGGGGGAUGGGCUCGCGGCCUAUCAGCUUGUUGGUGGGGUGAUGGCCUGCCAAGGCUUUGACGGGUAGCCGGCCUGAGAGGGUGGGCGGUCACAGGGGGGCUGAGAUGCGGCCGGGACGGAUGCGGGAGGCAGCGGGGGGGGGUGUGGCACGAUGGGCGGGAGGCUGAUGCAGCGACGUCGCGUGAGGGAUGGAGGCGUUCGGGUUGUGAAGCUCUUUCGCGGGUGAAGAAGGUCCUGCUGUUUGUGGUGGGGUUGACGGUAGCCGGGUUAUGAAGCGCCGGCUAACUACGUG